UUUUUUGCUACUGAAAUAAUUCUGUGUUAUUGAAAGAAAAAGUGAAUUAUUGGAAUGAUAAUUGCAGGCUAUUAAUUGCAUGCUCAGGAAGUCAUUGAUGGGGAUGGUCAAUGUCCAUAGAAUCCCAGAAUAUCCUGACUUGGAAGGGAUCCACCAGGAUCAUGCAAGUCCAGCUCCAAACUAACUUUGUGUGUAAAUAAUGACCUUCACUCCUCACCCAUCUGAUCUGAGUUUAUAGAAAAUCCUUGUUGCUGUUUCCAAGAAUCCCUACAGUGUAUUUAACACUUGGCAUGACAGAUAAAACACCCCAAAACAAAGUUGGUUUUCUUAACUGAGUGAAAGUUAUUUUAGCAAGAAAAUAAAUAGGAAGUUUAACACAGUUUCAGUAAAGGACAUUAUCAAAAAUACAGUUCUCUUUCUUCUCCUGGGUUUUUUUUCCUGUAAAGGGAAUAAUGGCAACAAUCAGUUUCAUCCUGGCCUAAAAGGCUUUUAAAAACCCCUCAUUUUCACCACAGAGCCAAAGCAGAAGCACCUGAAACAUUUUAAAGGAAGUACCAAUUCUAACUUGCAGUUUCUUUGUGCUCCCUCCUGCUGUCCCAGGAACCCACCCUUCCCGCUGGGAUGGAGAUGUUCUCGCUGAAUUCCCUCAAAGGAGCUGCUGCCUCUGCACAGGCUUGGCUGGAGGGGCAGGUCCAGCCCAGCUCGUCCCAGGAGCUGCCCAAGCUGGGAGAUGGCUCAGGAGACCCUGCCUGUGCUGGCUAACGCUGCUCUCUGCAGAACAAAGGGUUUUAUUUGAUAACUUUAUUCAUCUUGAACCUCUUCUCAUGGAGCCCAGCCUUUGUAAAACUGAACUGUGCCAUUGUAUUAGUCAAUAUUUUUUACCUUAUUGAAUAUUUCUCUUUCUGAUUUAAAGAAAAAUCAGAAGAAAAACAAAAAUAAAACCCUGAAAAACUUUAAAAACCCCCUUUUG
This 970-nucleotide long non-coding RNA is filed under the name Chloebia gouldiae (Gouldian finch). RNAcentral describes it as "Erythrura gouldiae (Gouldian finch) lncRNA (ENSEGOG00005016405.1)". The record is from RNAcentral. Lineage: Eukaryota; Metazoa; Chordata; Aves; Passeriformes; Passeridae.